This 208-nucleotide ribosomal RNA is filed under the name uncultured bacterium. RNAcentral describes it as "partial 16S ribosomal RNA". It matches the Rfam family "Bacterial small subunit ribosomal RNA", at positions 524 to 731 of the family's 1533-position model. The record is from RNAcentral.
UACGUAGGGUGCAAGCGUUAAUCGGAAUUACUGGGCGUAAAGCGUGCGCAGGCGGUUUUGUAAGUCUGUCGUGAAAGCCCCGGGCUCAACCUGGGAAUUGCAUUGGAGACUGCAAGGCUAGAAUCUGGCAGAGGGGGGUAGAAUUCCACGUGUAGCAGUGAAAUGCGUAGAGAUGUGGAGGAACAUCGAUGGCGAAGGCAGCCCCCUG